Non-coding RNA from Podarcis lilfordi (Lilford's wall lizard), 7256 nucleotides. The record is from the annotation of a GenBank genome assembly. NCBI's taxonomy places the organism in Eukaryota, Metazoa, Chordata, Lepidosauria, Squamata, Lacertidae.
CGUUCAGUAAGCAGUGUGAGGCGUGCUCUCAGAUUAGAUAAUUGUGUUUUUUGUGCCAGCAUUCUCAUCAACAUGGCAGGUAGGAAAUUGUGCCAUCUAGAUGUUCACCUGUUCUGCUUCAUUGUCCCAUGAAGCUGACAGAGAAGCCAGCUGAGAAGUUAAGGAUUUAUAGGUGGGGAAUGGAUGAAAUCUUUGGACAACUUGAGAGACGAUAACAUACACGCAAGUGGAUGCUGUGAUAGACAGCAAGAGAAAAGGGAGAAAGGCAGGUUCCCUUAAAAAGCCACCCCAGUUGGUCAAGGUCCCAGUACCCCCCAUGGGGCUUAGAUAAGCCAUGACUAAGGCCCAUUCAAUUUCCUUCAGUGGGACUUAGUCUUGGAUUUAUCUUUCACUAGAUGUGCCGAUGAAUUCUGAGGCUCCUUCAAAAUCACAUAUUUAUUUUUGGUACUACUGUCCAUCUACAUUGCAUUUUGUAGAACAAUGUACAUUGCACUUGUCCAAAGCAGCUUAUGAACCAGGAAUUUCCAAGGAGCAACAACACAAAACAUCAGUUUGGGUGGAAAAGCAGUAGAUAAAUAAGUAAAUAUCCAUAAAUGAUCAAUAUUGAUCCAAAACCGAAAGCAGUUUGGUUAGAGUGAGAGCCUGAAAUAGCAAUUGUUCUGUAGAUGAAUAAUGAUCUUUGUUGCUGUUGUAACCCCUAUCUCACCAAAUUAUAGAAACAGGUGAGCUUAACAGGUGUAAGAUUUCUUUUCUCCACCUUUCCCAGGUCUCAAAGACCUGUUUUGAUGUAGAGAGGCCAGGACUGUGCACUGUACGGUAUUCCAAAUGUGGAAUACUCCUUCCCGCAGAGUUGAAAUGCUCAAAUGGUUCUGUGACCAAAACAGCUCAUUGACCGUUGCUGGUGUGAUUUUAGGAGGGCUGCGGAGUCAUAAGUUACUUCUAACUUCUUCAUAUUCUUUUGGCAUAAUGACAUUUCUUAUAUCGCUGGGGAUGGCAGUUUUAUAAUUCCAGCAGUACUCAGGGGAUAAACACCUUGGUUUGUUUGUUGAGGGGCUAAUAUUUGUUCAGGUGGCUUUUGUCAUGCCACACUGCCUCAAAGUUGUGCUCCUUGUCCUCCUGGAUGCCUUUAUAGCAUUGGCAAGUGGGGUUCGGGACACGCAGUGGGUGCCUCACAACACAGCCCCUCUCUCUUCCUGGGCCAUGACCUUCAACAGGAAGGAGUGAUGAAAAGACCACCACCCAAGGCUCUUCAGCUCCAUGCCCAGAGUCUCAUAGUCCCUUGCUGCAGGGACUGUUAAAGGCUGUGUGGGGCAGUAUCAUUUGUACCCACACGAAUCUGAAGGAAGUGGUAGUGCUCAGUGGGCUUGAUAACACUUGGCAACUUUUCCGCCACAUUGUCAAUCUUUGCACCUGGAAGACUGCACAUCUCCUGGGACACCCUGUUUCCUCCACACACUGCUGUCUCUCUUCCCCUCAGUACGGAGUCACCUGCCACCGCCACAUGUCUCCUCCUCCUCUGGGGAGGGGUAAGAAUCAUUCUAUGUGCUGUGCCUUCCAAUGGCUGCUUGGAGUGUUCUAAGGUCUACAAGUGCUGUUUUUGAGUCUUCCCCUCUUGCCUAUUGGAACUUAUCUGGAUAUUGUUAGGAUAGGUUUCAAAGGCAGGAACCUUGUGGUUUUAAUUCCUACUUCGUCCUCUCAGCUUGCCUUCUCCAGACUGCAAUUCCCUUACUCCAAUAUUGUCUCCAUGGAAGGUAGCAUUCUUAGUUUCUUUUUAUUUAUGUUUUUAAAGUGUCCAUCUAGACCAGCAUCCUGUUCUCAAAGUGGCCAAUCAGAUGCUCCCAGGAAGCCUGCAAGCAGGACUUGAGUGCUACAGCUCCCUCCCCACUUACGAUACCCAGCAACUGGCAUUUAGAGAUGUGUUGCCUCCCACGGUGGAGGUAAAAUAUAUGCAUCCUGGCUAGGAGCCAUUAUAAUCAACAAAUUAAUUAAUCUUCUUUUAAAAAAAGCUUUGCAUUGGGGCAUCAGGUUGGCCACUAUGAGAACAGGAUGCUGCCCUAGAUGAGCAUUUGGCCUGAUCCAGCACGACCCUUUUUAUGUUCACUGAAAGGAUUACAUACUUUUAUAUAUGUUAUAUUAGGAAAGGAGGAGCAAAGAAUGCAAUUCUAAGCCAGUGGCCACAGCACAAGGCAUUUGUUAGUUACCAAGAGCAUCAGAACCCCUUUUUCCUAGUUGGCAUUCACUUAUAAACCAUAAUUCCAUGUCUUCUAAUGUUUUCCAUGGAACAGGAUAUGGGUCCCACAACCCACAUUUUAUUGGGCAGAAGCUGCAAGCCAGCGGCACCAUGACAGUGAACUUCCCUUCAAAAGAAGUAAUCAGGAGAGGCUUGCCGAGGGAAACCAAGACCCCAAAAAGGCCUUGGAAUAUUAAAUUAAUCUAGUAUGUAGCUCUUAGUCAUAGAUUCUGAUUUAGCCAAGGAGUGUCCAUGACUGAUUUAUGCAAACCUGUGCUAAGGCUACUCUUUGAAUACAGUGUGCAGUUCUGGUCAUCUCAACUUUGUAAAUGAUAUUGUGGAGUUGGAAAAGAUUCAUAAAUGGGCCACCAAAAUGAUCGAGGAAAGGUUAGUGCAUGACGUCACACACACUAUGCCCUCCCAACCUGGCCAGACCCACUCAGCCUACCAUCCACCAAGCACAUUUUCUGGAGGAGCAUGACCAGGGCUCCCCACCAACAGGCUCCCAUCUGCUCCUGGCUCUGGCCAAGGCACCUUCCUCAGAGUGGAGAGUUGGCAGCAGAGAGCUGCCACCGCUCUCCUCAACUGGGCUGCACCGCAUGAAGCUCCGCUGCAGUGGAGAGCGGCUGCAGUGUGCAAGACGCCCAGCCAUGGCUGCUCCAUCUCCAGGUCAAGCCUGACUCGAGGGGCUGCUGUGUGUGAGGGAGGGUGAUGUUCACCCUUGCACAUCCCACCUGACAAUAAAUAGUCCAAACUGUUUUAAACAGUGGGGAAAAGAUGUAACAAACUUCAUUUCAUGGGGGGAAAUCCUGCAUAAAAUACAAAAACCUGACAGACGCAGGAGAAAGAUGGAGAUUUGCCCUACCUGAUCUUAGACUUUACUAUGAGGCAGCAUGCCUUUGCUAGAUGAAAGAAUGGAUGGAGCUAAGAGAUACCAAUAUUUUAGAUACUAUGCUUUGGAUGGCAUACCUAUUUGCAUUAUGACAAAGCAAGGGUACACAAAGGAUUUCAAAAUCAUGCUAUGAGAAGAAGCAUAUGCGCUGUCUGGCAGAGACAUAAAGAACUCAGAGACAAAAAACCCCAAGGUUGAAUAUGGAAAACCGAUGGGCUACUUACAAUGAUUUUACAGAGUUUAAAGAGGGAAGGGUUUAUCUGAAAAAAGAGAAGAGGUAUCAGAUUAUACUAUAGCUUGGUUUCAGUACCUCCAGGUGAAUGAGUUAUUUAAAAGAGAUAAAGAAAAGGGUUUUGGGGAAACGUGUUCAGAAUUUGAAAAAAAGGAUGAUAAACUAAUUUAUAAUAUUUAUAAACUGUUAUGGGGUGGGAGACUAAAGAGGAAAUAGUGAAGGCGACAAUGAUUAAAUGGGCUAUAGAUAUAGGUUAUAAAAUAGAAAUGUCAGUGUGGGACAAACUGUGGGGGGAAACUGAAUCUCUCUGCCUGCUACCUUAUUAAGGAAAAUUUACAAAAUAUGCUGUACCGGUGGUUCUUGACACCCACCAAACUGCUGAAAAUGGCAUACAGUGAUAGCCAACUUAACCUACAAGUAGGAAUGAACAUAUGAGCAGCAAACAUUAAAUAAAGGAAUAUUUGAGAUGAAAAUGGGUGGAAGAAUAGAAUAUGCAGCUGACAAAAGAUUACCUAGAAUGUCAUGGAGAGAUGGACUGGGAAGUCUGAGGGUGAGAGGUAAUGAUGAACAUUCUAUGAUGUAUAUAUGUUUUUAAAAUGCAUCAAUAAAAUUACAUAAACAAGGAACCUCUAAGUUCCCACAAAAUCUCAGAAUUCUAUGGAACUGUCCCUAAAGCCACCCCACUCCUGCUGCCCACGCUAUGCUAUAAAUCAGGGAUAUCCAACAGGUCGCUCACGAUCUACUGGUAGAUGCCCGGGAUGUUUUGGUCAAUCACAGUCGAUCUCUGGGUACCUCUCCUUAGCAUUGGUAAAAUAGAAUUGAGCCCGCCCCCUCGCCCCACCCUCCAUUUUUGCACGUUCUGCAGAACAGAAGACAGAGCUUACUCAGUGAGGCUGUUCAUUUCCCCAACGAUCUGUUAGCGAGUGUCUGUUCCCCUUUCUCCCUAAAAAUGGGCAACAGCUUAGACUUGAACUCCCCCCAAAGGGGUAGAUCACUGCCAGUUUUCAAUUUUGUGAGUUGAUCGCAGUCUCUUGGGAGUUGGCCACCCCUGCUAUAAAUGGCUUCCUCACACAUAGCAAGGCACUUGGCUUCUACCCCUUGUUCUGCUCCUGAACUGACAACACAAGGAAUCACACCCAUCCUACCCUGCUGCCAAUCUUGGGCACAGAGCCAAGUGAGUUAUGGCCAAGUGAACAUUCUCCUGACACUUUCUUGGUAUGCCUAUGCAAUUGUGACAUGGCAGUCUUAGCAUGUCUAUUAUUAUGUAUUUGAAGAGAUCCAUUGCACACUCAUCAGAUGGUUAUAUUCUGUGUGUCUAUGAAAUAACUAUCUGUGAGAGAAAUCUGGCAUCCUUAAUGCUCUUUACAGUGUAGUGAGACUAAAAAAAGAAAAAAGGUAAAGGGACCCCUGACCGUUAAGUCCAGCUGCAGACGACUGGGCUGGGGUUGCAGCGUUCAUCUCGCUUUACUGGCCGAGGGAGCCGACGUUUGUCCACAGACAAUUUUUCCGGAUCAUGUGGCCAGCAUGACUAAGCCACUUCUGGCGAAACCAGAGCAGUACACGGAAAUGCCGUUUACCUUCCCGCUGGAGCAGAACCUAUUUAUCUACUUGCACUACUGCUAGGUUGGCAGGAGCAGGGACUGAGCAACGGGAGCUCACCCCAUGGCGGGGAUUCGAACUGCUGACCUUCCGAUCAGCAAGCCCUAGGCUCAGUGGUUUAGACCACAGCGCCACCUGCGUCCCUGUAGUGAGACUAGUAGCUAUUAAUUUGUGCAUGUUAAUUAACAGAUGAAGGACUUCUUAUUAACCAAAAAAAAAGCAUGCAUAGAAGUGUGUUUAUGUGGAGUGGGGGGGGGGUGUCUGUAAUAUAGUUGUUUGGUGCUGUGCUGUGCUCUCUGGGGUCAUCUGCACUGUAAUGAGUAUGGGUUGCUCGUGCGUAAGUUGCCGCCUCUCCUGGCUAUGUUGCGUUGUUAAACCUUUCUGUCUGGACAGCCCUUCACUUCGUGGCUGCCUCAGUCGUUAGCAGAAUCUGUCAGUGGGAGUUUCUUAAACCUUUUCCAACAUAAAAGUUGUUUGACACCGAGUCUCCUCCUACUCUCCCUGCGUGGAAGCCUUCUGAGCAGGGAGGGCGUGGGUAGCGGAGGACCUGUGCUCUCCCCGCUGGUGUCCGGUGAAGAGUCCUGGAGCCCUCUCGCCGAUUCCCCCAUCUGCCCCACUUUAUCCCUGGUGUUGCGCUGAUUUGCUUCCCCAUCUGCUGAGCUGCCUCUCUCCCUGCUGGGCCCUUCUCCAGCAUCAUUUGAGAGCCUUCCCUCUAGCUCCGAUGUCAGUUCCCUGACACGCACUUAUCCUGCAAUUUCUUCCAUUUGAUCUGUGACUUCUAGGCAUGGGUCUGAGAGAUUUUUCUUUUGUCCCACUGAUUUCCCUGGCAAAACCCAUUGUUUACUGCUGAAUCAGAACAAAUGUCAAUCUGCAGAAAAACCAACUGAUGUUUGCUUUGAUUUACCAGUAAAGAGGGACCCAUGCCUAGAAGUCGCAGACCAAAUGGAAGCGUGGCUGAGCCUUCUGUCUAACAGUCAUAGGGACCUUGAAGGUUCUCCAAUCCAACCUGUCCGGGGCAGGAACUGCAAUGCAGGAUGCAACUCCAAUGCAAGUGGGGUGUGUGUGUUUGCACUGCUCAGGCAAAGUAGUAAAACAUCCCCAAUUACAUCACUGUUCAUUUCAGUCCCAAAGCCAUUCAGUAACAUGAACAUUUUAAAACAAAUUUAUGAGCAUUCAAAGCCCAAAGUGAAAGGAAACUAUCAUUAGCUGAUCAAGAUAAGAAGUGGUGUUUUCUUAUGAAAAUAAAGUAUAUUCCAAUGUUUGUGCAGAUGGCAAGGGGGAUUCUAUGGUUAUAAAGAGCUACGUUGUGUUGAGUUAGACACACUGGUCCAUCUUUUGAACCAGUUCUUUUUUUCCAAUUUUUUUAUUGAUUUUCCAAUUUUAUAUCAAACAGAAAACAUCAAACAAACAAACAAACAUUUAUCCUAACUAUAAUAAUUCCAUUUUUGUUAACAUUGUUAAAUGACUUCCUCGAAUCCCCCUAGCUGAGUUUCCAUAUAAUCCAUUGCAGCACUUUUCCAAAACUAUUUUCACAUAAAAUUUACUUAGUCAAUUUACCUCUUUCUUUCUUUUCAUUUUAGCUUUAACAUAGUAUUUUCCAUCUUUUGAACCAGUUCUACCUACUUAAAGACCACCAGUCCUUUCACAGCAGGAACUACCUGAUAUUCUCUUGUUGGAGUGUGAACCUGAGUUUACCACCACAAGCAACCUAGCCAUCGUGUUCAAGUGGAUCUGGCAAUGCCUCCUGCCUGAAACUCUGGAAAGCUGCUGCUAGUGACCAAUAGCCUCAUUCAAUAUGGAACAAAGGAAGCUGCCUUAUACCUGUGGUCCAUGUAGCUCACUACUGUCUGCACUGAUUGGUAGUGCCUCUUCAGGGUUACAGGCAGGGACUCUCUCCCAGCCAUACAUGGAGAUGAUUAAAGCUGAAAGCUGGACCUUCUGGAUGGAAGCAGAUGUUGUGCCACUGAGCCACAGCCCUUUCCUAAGAUGCUUUCCUAUGUUCUCAGUGAUUCUUGGGGUUCUCUGACCAGUGGAGCCAGAGUGCACACUAUUCAAACUCCAAGGGCAAACAAAAUGGCCAAAUAGAACCUACAAGACAAUCCAAUCCUACUUUUAUGGAGCUUGGCUUUGCACAUGCACACACCCACCGCAGCCUGAACGAAAGCAUGAUAAUUAUCUGAAGAGAUAUAGGAGCCCUGAGGCUUGUGGCUUUCAUAUGGAGUGUGUGUAAUGUCUCCUCUUUCAGAGAUGGCGUGAGGGCUUUGUGCGAAUGCACCCUAUGGGAUCUGAUAAAAAUCCCUUUG